CUAUAGAUUUAAGAGCAUAAAGUCUUUUUGACCCCUGCUGGACUUUGUAAAUAAUAAAGCGGUGAAGUUUUGAAGUCCCAGACAUCACAGCUGGGCAGCAGGUCCAGUUUGAGAGAUGAUUCAACAGAGAUUUGCUUUUGGAAAAGGGGGGGGAUACACUGUGACGCAAACACACAAAAAAGAGAUUUAUCAGGGCAAGCAUACCGUGUGCUAGUCUGCACUGAUGGGCUCUCUGAUUCACACGGAGACACCAAAAGACCCCAAUCAUACUGAACCAAAACACAGCUGCUGCUGCCUCCGAUGUAAGCCGGGAUGUGUCUGAAUCACUGUGCUGCUACUGAU
This is a long non-coding RNA of Pundamilia nyererei, 342 nucleotides long. RefSeq lists it as uncharacterized. The record is from RefSeq and is a predicted model, not a curated record. Lineage: Eukaryota; Metazoa; Chordata; Actinopteri; Cichliformes; Cichlidae. The transcript is spliced from 3 exons.